Molecule: transfer RNA, 77 nt
Filed under: Coxiellaceae bacterium
Lineage: Bacteria; Pseudomonadati; Pseudomonadota; Gammaproteobacteria; Legionellales; Coxiellaceae
Description: tRNA-Lys
Rfam family: tRNA
About the family: Transfer RNA (tRNA) molecules are approximately 80 nucleotides in length. Their secondary structure includes four short double-helical elements and three loops (D, anti-codon, and T loops).
Source: RNAcentral
AGGCCGUUAGCUCAGUUUGGCAGAGCAGCUGACUCUUAAUCAGCGGGUCGUCGGUUCGAUCCCGACACGGCCUACCA